GGCCGGCAAAAUCCUAUCUCUACCUCCACGUGGUGCCGGCCGGACUAUGUAGCAUCAACAGCUGCAUAGACUAACAGAGAAGG
Molecule: non-coding RNA, 83 nt
Organism: Anopheles dirus
Lineage: Eukaryota; Metazoa; Arthropoda; Insecta; Diptera; Culicidae
Source: Rfam